Long non-coding RNA from Monodelphis domestica (gray short-tailed opossum), 1170 nucleotides. RefSeq lists it as uncharacterized. Lineage: Eukaryota; Metazoa; Chordata; Mammalia; Didelphimorphia; Didelphidae. The record is from RefSeq and is a predicted model, not a curated record.
GUAGUAGUUUCCAGUUACAGCAGUGCGGGUCAGUCCAACAGGGCCGUCCGCCGCCUCUUUUUUUUCUUUUCUUUCUUUUUUUUCUUCUUCUUAGUGUGAGAUUAAGGGGCCAAAGCACAUAAUUCCAGUUAUCGUUUUUGAGUUCCAGCUGCAGCUGCCGAAUGCGGAUGUCUUUCUGGGAGAGCUCGUCUUUCAAUCUCCGAAUCUCGUCCUGCUGUCGGAAGAACAUUCGGAGGAGCUGGAAGGGAGGGACCAACAGAUGGGAUGGAAAGAGAAAAAGGAGAGAAGAGAAGUGAGCGUCCGGGAUCGUGCUCUCUCUCCUUCCUAGGGCCUCGCCACCCCCACCCCUGAGGCUUCCAGCUCUCACCUUCCCCCAGAGUUCUGCCUAUGUACACACACACACACUCAGCCCUCUCACCAGCCUGGAAGCUCAGUGAUUCAGCUUUUCUAAAGCCUCCCACUGCUCCAGGCUCUGGUGGCCAUUUUCUCUGGUAAACUGGGAGAUCGGAUUAAAUUAGGGUAUCGAGAAUGAGCCUUGGCUCUAUUCUGGCUGAAUGCAGCAGUGGCUCAUUUAUCUGGCAUCAUCAGGGAAUGCGCUGCCCUACGUAAGUGAAUUUUCCAGAGGACUGACGAAUAGCCCUUUAAAAGCCCAAACUCUUCUUUUCACUUUCGCCAUUUGGGAUGGAAAUCCUUCCAAAAUGUAUAAUGGAUUCCUCGGCCUUUUAAGGAACCACACACAGUAAACAGGAUGCGACCUUUUCUCCAAGAUUCAGAAUCCCCGUCAUAGGCAUCGAUGCGAUGUCGUAUAAGGGAUGCCCUUGGGGCCACUGAAGUGUCUAGGGCUGUUUCCCCCUUCACUAAAUGGCCCCAGAUUGCUCUGCUUCUCUAGUUCUGGUAUUUUAUUUUUAUCGCUUUCUGACUCCUACCCCACAGCUCUUCAGAGUUAUAAUUAAGUGUGGGGCUUUGCUCCAAGGGGCUGAAUUUAAAGGAGUUGCCCCAGGUGGAAUUUGUGGAUCUUUGUCCCACGUGCAAAAAUCCCCAUUUAUGGCUCUGCUGUCAUUUCUUUUUUAUUUUGAAAUUUUUAUUUAAUGAUUUCUUUUUUCUUGAGUGUUCAACUUUUUAUUUUAUUUUUUAAAAUUUAGUUAAUAAAAUUUCCCCCUGGUUACUUGA